AUACGGAGGGUGCGAGCGUUGUUCGGAAUUACUGGGCGUAAAGAGCUUGUAGGCGGCCUGUUAAGUCUGAUGUGAAAACCCUCGGCUCAACCGAGGAAGUGCAUCGGAUACUGGCAGGCUUGAGUAUGGGAGAGGAGAGCGGAAUUCCCGGUGUAGAGGUGAAAUUCGUAGAUAUCGGGAGGAACACCAGUGGCGAAGGCGGCUCUCUGGAACGUCUCUGACGCUGAGGUGCGAAAGCGUGGGGAGCAAACAGGAUUAGAUACCCCAGUAGUCC
RNAcentral lists this ribosomal RNA (274 nucleotides) under uncultured bacterium. RNAcentral's name for it is "partial 16S ribosomal RNA". It matches the Rfam family "Bacterial small subunit ribosomal RNA", at positions 523 to 796 of the family's 1533-position model. The record is from RNAcentral.